RNAcentral lists this ribosomal RNA (174 nucleotides) under uncultured bacterium. Its description in RNAcentral is "partial 16S ribosomal RNA". It matches the Rfam family "Bacterial small subunit ribosomal RNA", at positions 338 to 524 of the family's 1533-position model. The record is from RNAcentral.
CCUACGGGAGGCAGCAGUGGGGAAUAUUGCACAAUGGGCGCAAGCCUGAUGCAGCGACGCCGCGUGGGGGAUGACGGCCUUCGGGUUGUAAACCCCUUUCGCCCGGGACGAAGCGAGAGUGACGGUACCGGGAGAAGAAGCACCGGCCAACUACGUGCCAGCAGCCGCGGUAAU